Molecule: long non-coding RNA, 72 nt
Organism: Mustela erminea (ermine)
Lineage: Eukaryota; Metazoa; Chordata; Mammalia; Carnivora; Mustelidae
Exons: 3
Source: RefSeq, a predicted model, not a curated record
CAAUAUAUACGUAGAUCAAAUCAUUACGUUGUACACGUUAAACUUAUACAAUGUUAAAUGUCAGUUAUGACU